Molecule: transfer RNA, 73 nt
Filed under: Phrynosoma platyrhinos (Desert horned lizard)
Lineage: Eukaryota; Metazoa; Chordata; Lepidosauria; Squamata; Phrynosomatidae
Description: tRNA-OTHER
Rfam family: tRNA (bases 9-73)
About the family: Transfer RNA (tRNA) molecules are approximately 80 nucleotides in length.
Source: RNAcentral
AGCAUCAUAGCAUAGUGGUUUGAAUGUUGGACUAGGACUCCAGGAGACCAGGGUUCAACUCCCUGCUCAGCCA